UUUAUAUAUUGCUUGUUUUCUCUGACUACACAUAAUUCAAGAGUAUAAAACUCCGGCAAGCACGCAUCGAUAUUGAUUUCUAAUAUCGAUGGCUGUUUCCCAACGUCUUGCCGAAGCAACCUGUUUGUUACACAAGGGUGGGAGUUCCUGUAGAACAGGAAAACUCGGUAAUGAUCCUUCCGCAGGUUCACCUACGGAAA
This 200-nucleotide unclassified non-coding RNA is filed under the name uncultured fungus. RNAcentral describes it as "sequence contains ITS1". Lineage: Eukaryota; Fungi. The record is from RNAcentral.